UACGUAGGGUGCGAGCGUUAAUCGGAAUUACUGGGCGUAAAGCGUGCGCAGGCGGCUUUGCAAGACAGGCGUGAAAUCCCCGGGCUUAACCUGGGAACUGCGCUUGUGACUACAAGGCUAGAGUGUAGCAGAGGGGGGUAGAAUUCCACGUGUAGCAGUGAAAUGCGUAGAGAUGUGGAGGAAUACCGAUGGCGAAGGCAGCCCCCUGGGCUAACACUGACGCUCAUGCACGAAAGCGUGGGGAGCAAACAGG
RNAcentral lists this ribosomal RNA (253 nucleotides) under uncultured bacterium. Its description in RNAcentral is "partial 16S ribosomal RNA". It matches the Rfam family "Bacterial small subunit ribosomal RNA", at positions 524 to 776 of the family's 1533-position model. The record is from RNAcentral.